GGGGACGUAGCUCAGCUGGUUAGAGCACCUGCUUUGCAAGCAGGGGGUCGUGGGUUCGAAUCCCAUCGUCUCCA
This 74-nucleotide transfer RNA is filed under the name Ilumatobacteraceae bacterium. Its description in RNAcentral is "tRNA-Ala". It matches the Rfam family "tRNA". Rfam says of the family: Transfer RNA (tRNA) molecules are approximately 80 nucleotides in length. The record is from RNAcentral. Lineage: Bacteria; Bacillati; Actinomycetota; Acidimicrobiia; Acidimicrobiales; Ilumatobacteraceae. RNAcentral also lists the same sequence under 1 other name.